RNAcentral lists this ribosomal RNA (401 nucleotides) under uncultured bacterium. RNAcentral's name for it is "bacterial SSU rRNA". It matches the Rfam family "Bacterial small subunit ribosomal RNA", at positions 356 to 773 of the family's 1533-position model. The record is from RNAcentral.
GGGGAAUCUUGCGCAAUGGGCGAAAGCCUGACGCAGCAACGCCGCGUAAGGGAAGACGGCUUUAGGGUUGUAAACCUCUUUCAGUAGGGACGAAAACAGACGGUACCUACAGAAGAAGCUCCGGCUAACUACGUGCCAGCAGCCGCGGUAAUACGUAGGGAGCGAGCGUUGUCCGGAAUUAUUGGGCGUAAAGCGCGUGUAGGCGGCCCGCCAAGUCUGGUGUGAAAUCUUUCGGCUUAACCGGAAGCGGUCACUGGAUACUGGCGGGCUUGAGUCCGGAAGAGGAGAGUGGAAUUCCUGGUGUAGCGGUGGAAUGCGCAGAUAUCAGGAGGAACACCAAUGGCGAAGGCAGCUCUCUGGUACGUGACUGACGCUAAGACGCGAAAGCGUGGGGAGCAAAC